AGGCUCAUGGCUCAGCGGUAGAGCGCUCACCUAGCACGUGUGAGGUCCUGGGUUCGAUCCUCAGCACCCUG
Molecule: transfer RNA, 71 nt
Filed under: Marmota monax (woodchuck)
Lineage: Eukaryota; Metazoa; Chordata; Mammalia; Rodentia; Sciuridae
Description: tRNA.Ala
Rfam family: tRNA (bases 8-64)
About the family: Transfer RNA (tRNA) molecules are approximately 80 nucleotides in length. Their secondary structure includes four short double-helical elements and three loops (D, anti-codon, and T loops).
Source: RNAcentral